Molecule: long non-coding RNA, 502 nt
Filed under: Penaeus japonicus
Lineage: Eukaryota; Metazoa; Arthropoda; Malacostraca; Decapoda; Penaeidae
Description: uncharacterized LOC122242620
Source: RNAcentral
CCAGGUGUAAACAAACAAAGCCUUCGCAGAGGAUCCUGUGCGGCGGCCCUCGUGUUUCUUCUGAUAAAACUACUUUGCUUUCAACAUGCCUGUCCAGACUGAUGGGCAGAUUAUAAGGCCAAUUAUAAAACAUUAAGAAAUUAAAACUCCUGAUAUAUGAAAAUGAGUGUUUCCAAGAGGAACUUCGCAAAGCUCAGAGGGCCCUUCUUCGUGUUCGACGGGACAAGUCCUUCCUCCUUGACCGCCUCCUCCAAUACCAUCGAGGUCCUGACUCAUCCUCAGACUCUGAUCAGACAGAAGAGUCAGACACAGAAAAUGAUGCCAAGCUGGACACAAAGAGUUGCAGAAAAAGAUUAAGUUUGGAAGGAUCUGGCGGAGGUUCAAACAGCUCUCAGGGGCCCCUUGGAAAGCCACCCCUCAAAAAAAAGAAGUCCAGUAGCAAUUCCAGCGGCAGUAGCAAGUCCAGUAAACAAGGCUCGAAGCAGGUGAGGCAUUAGGUGUU